UAAUCACAACACCACAUAAA
Molecule: small nuclear RNA, 20 nt
Filed under: Arabidopsis thaliana (thale cress)
Lineage: Eukaryota; Viridiplantae; Streptophyta; Magnoliopsida; Brassicales; Brassicaceae
Description: snRNA_15179
Source: RNAcentral